CAUUAUAGAGGCCACUAGUGCUGACCAAGCUGCCAUCUUUCUCUCUUCCCGUCUUUCAAUGGCUGCUUCAAUUUCAGCUUGAACCUCCAAACCGCACGUAAGUAAUCAUUUUUUGUCAUCUUUCCUUGCUGUCCCACUGGACUGGACAUUAGUUUAGUUUUUUUAGCUACAUCUGGUGAAGUUGUGGUAAAAUGCUAGCAUUAGCCUAUUCGUCGUAGCAAGCUAGCCUGAAGCUAAUAUUUGCUAAAUUUAGGGACACCCGUGUCUCUUCAGGAGUUGGAGGCCGGUGUUCUAGGAGCGGAUCUCAGGAUCUCAACAGGCAGUGUUGGGCAGUAACCAGUGUUGGGUUAGCACCUCAUACCACAGUGCAUCAAAGCAGUCUCAUGAGCGCUGGAAAGGACGAGCCCAGAGCCCAAAACAGACAGUGCAGGAGAUGACAAGCUGUCCUGUGCCAGAAGUUCUGUUGACCCACAGUGAGAGGCAUCAUUUCAGAAACACCAGGAAGACUGAAACUCGUCGCCAGGAUCAAGCAGGGCUCGUGAUCUUCACCAGCAGCUCCCUCACAAGAAGGAUAAACCCAGCAUUUCAUGAACACUGAUGGAGACCUUUGCUUUGUGUAAUGUUAGAAGUACUCAGAUAAUCCUCAGAGGGUCUGGACUUUUACAUAAUAGAAUAGAAUAGAAUUCA
Long non-coding RNA from Maylandia zebra (zebra mbuna), 687 nucleotides. RefSeq lists it as uncharacterized. NCBI's taxonomy places the organism in Eukaryota, Metazoa, Chordata, Actinopteri, Cichliformes, Cichlidae. The record is from RefSeq and is a predicted model, not a curated record.